CUUUGGACGGAGAUGUGUGGUUUCUGCUACUAGUUCAUCCUGUCUUCACAUAGCUGCUGACCAAUACUUCAGUGCUUUAAAGCAUAUACUGGGGAUCAUCAGAACAUUGAAAAGCUACUGUGAUAACAUUUCAAUGGAAAAAACCCAAGACAGUUGAAAGAUUGGCAACACCAUGUGGGAUUUUCUGUUCCUGUCCAGUUCCAGAGGCUGACUUUAAAUCUUUGGCCAAAUUUUUUUCUCAACUAGAAGGCCUGAAUAUGCAGAUGGAUUAUCCAGGCUUACAAGAACACCAGCAUCAGAGCAGAGUAAAACUGAGAAAGUCUUGAUGUCUGCUUUGCUAUUCAGCGGAUUUUUCAUGACAGAGUCCCAUUUCAGAUGGUGUGUUAAGGAUAGCUGAUCUAGCAUGUUGAGGAGGCUCACUCUAAAGAUACUUGGUUUCCUCCACUGCCUGCAAAGGAAGUCACAAUGAAUGACUUGUAUAUACACUACACUACCUGAAGUUAGAACAAGUGACCCGGUACUUUGCGUCUGAAUGUUUAAGA
Long non-coding RNA from Chroicocephalus ridibundus (black-headed gull), 542 nucleotides. RefSeq lists it as uncharacterized. Lineage: Eukaryota; Metazoa; Chordata; Aves; Charadriiformes; Laridae. The record is from RefSeq and is a predicted model, not a curated record. The transcript is spliced from 5 exons.